Molecule: non-coding RNA, 836 nt
Organism: Nakaseomyces glabratus
Lineage: Eukaryota; Fungi; Ascomycota; Saccharomycetes; Saccharomycetales; Saccharomycetaceae
Source: RefSeq, a predicted model, not a curated record
AUACUUACCUUAAGAUGUCAGAGGAGAUCAAGAAGUCCUUCUGACCAGGCAUCGUUUUUUUCCAAUUUAGAGGGAAGUUAUGCAUUUCCUGCAUUGGAAGUUCUCUGAUCUUUUGGGAUAAGAAAACUUCUUUUUGCUCCAAUUGAUGUAAACUCCCUGGUCACUUGCACAUACUUGCGGAAAAGGUGUCUGCUGACGUUUCGUUCCCCAAUUCCAAUAAGUGGGUUAAUUUCUUUGUUUUUUCUUAAUUGCAAAAGCUUGGAUUUUUAUCUACUUUUGGAGUCCUGUGUUCAUUCUGCCUGGAGAAUUAUGGCACCAGGUAUUAUAACUGGUGCUUGGGGAGCUGGUUACUGUAUGGUAUUCAGAUUCGAGGGCAUUUUGUCCUAAUUGGGAUUCCAGUUUAAGUAAUCAUAGUUGCUUUGAGGAAGCCAAGGUGUUAUGACUGGUUCUUCUUAACAUUGGGUGAUGACUAUUGCUCUUUUGAGUAGUAUGAAAUUAUCUGAAGUGGAGGUUCUGGUAAUAGCAUAAAGAUGCUGAUAGUCCUUAUUACCCAAUAUUCUCAUGGAGGCCACUGAUUCUAGGUUUUCAAUCUAUGAAGGUUGAGUGGUUGUGAGAUAGUGGGUUUGGUCUGCCACUCUUGAACUUGGAUGCCUCUUUUCAGCACUAUGGCACCUUUACUAGAUGACAUGGAAUGGGAUUUAUCUCUUUUCAUGGAGUUUGGUAUGGGUAAGUUACUUCUGUGAAUUUCUGAGUCUUCUUGGCUUUUUUUAGGAAGAGCUGAGAGCUAUACAGGUAUUGGUAGAAACGGGUGGGUCUUAUAAUUUUUGAUUCUCUUU